Molecule: ribosomal RNA, 253 nt
Filed under: uncultured bacterium
Lineage: Bacteria
Description: partial 16S ribosomal RNA
Rfam family: Bacterial small subunit ribosomal RNA
Source: RNAcentral
UACGAAGGGGGCUAGCGUUGUUCGGAAUUAUUGGGCGUAAAGCGCGUGUAGGCGGCGUGGCAAGUCGGGUGUGAAAGCCCUCAGCUCAACUGAGGAAGUGCGCCCGAAACUGCUGUGCUUGAGUGCCGGAGAGGGUGGCGGAAUUCCCCAAGUAGAGGUGAAAUUCGUAGAUAUGGGGAGGAACACCGGUGGCGAAGGCGGCCACCUGGACGGUAACUGACGCUGAGACGCGAAAGCGUGGGGAGCAAACAGG